Non-coding RNA from Podarcis lilfordi (Lilford's wall lizard), 72 nucleotides. The record is from the annotation of a GenBank genome assembly. NCBI's taxonomy places the organism in Eukaryota, Metazoa, Chordata, Lepidosauria, Squamata, Lacertidae.
GGGGCUGUAGUUCAGUGGUACGGCACCUGCUUUGCAUGCAGAAGGUUGCUGGUUCAAUCCCUGAUGGCAUCU